GAGGAGCUUGGGUGUCUCUUUUUUCUUGCUGGUUUCUAGACCUUGGUUGCUUCAUAAUCAAGGGAAGAAGAGCAAGAGAAGAAGAGAAGAAAAAGAUCAAAGAAAGGGUCAAAGAGUUGAUUGCGAUCUAAGCUUUGCUUAGAUUCACAGGGUUAUUGUUUUUGAAGAAGAAAGAUCAACACCAAAAAGGGCUAUUCCAGGCUGAUUCUGAGUGAAUACCCAU
This 223-nucleotide long non-coding RNA is filed under the name Elaeis guineensis (African oil palm). RNAcentral describes it as "long non-coding RNA (EGUI_LNC039078)". Lineage: Eukaryota; Viridiplantae; Streptophyta; Magnoliopsida; Arecales; Arecaceae. The record is from RNAcentral.